GUAAAAGUCGUAACAAGGUUUCCGUAGGUGAACCUGCGGAAGGAUCAUUACCAAGAUGUGGGGCGGAAUGGGUGGCGCUCUAGGGUAGUUCCGGGGACCACUCAUCCGCCUUUCUAUUUCUCAUCCACUGCGUACGCAAACAGUCGUUGCCUUGACUGGCAUAAACCCGUCAGGGGGCCUAAACUCGAUGAACUGGGUGUAGUCUGAGCUAAACAUAAUAACUAAAACUUUCAACAACGGAUCUCUUGGUUCUGGCAUCGAUGAAGAACGCAGCGAAAUGCGAUAAGUAAUGUGAAUUGCAGAAUUCAGUGAAUCAUCGAAUCUUUGAACGCACAUUGCGCCCCUUGGAAAUUCCGGGGGGCAUACCUGUUCGAGCGUCAUGAAUACCUUCCAAGCUUGGCUUGAUGUUGGGCGUUCGUCCUCCAGGACGUGCCCGAAAUGCAGUGGCAGUGCGGGGCAGUUUCCAGUGCAAUAAAUAUGUUUUCACUGCGCAAGUUCCCCCGGCAUCGGCCAGACAACCUUGAAUGUUUUUUACUGGUUGACCUCGGAUCAGGUAGGAAUACCCGCUGAACUUAAGCAUAUCAAUAAGCG
This 591-nucleotide ribosomal RNA is filed under the name Nephroma resupinatum. RNAcentral describes it as "eukaryotic LSU rRNA". The stretch from base 226 to 380 matches the Rfam family "5.8S ribosomal RNA". Lineage: Eukaryota; Fungi; Ascomycota; Lecanoromycetes; Peltigerales; Nephromataceae. The record is from RNAcentral.